CCUAACGGCCCGGUCCUUGGUAGAACCCACCUGACUACACACUAAUCAAUCAGGUCCCUAACGGCCCGGUCCUUGGUAGAACCCAUACUGACUGACUACACACCAAUCAAUCAGGUCCUAACGGCCCGGUCCUUGGUAGAACCCAUACUGACUGACUACACACCAAUCAAUCAGGUCCUAACGGCCCGGUCCUUGGUAGAACCCAUACUGACUGACUACACACCAAUCAAUCAGGUCCUAACGGCCCGGUCCUUGGUAGAACCCACCUGACUACACACUAAUCAAUCAGGUCCUAACGGCCCGGUCCUUGGUAGAACCCAUACUGACUGCACACCAAUCAAUCAGGUCCUAACGGCCCGGUCCUUGGUAGAACCUAUACUGACUACACACCAAUCAAUCAGGUCCUAACGGCCCGGUCCUUGGUAGAACCCACCUGACUACACACUAAUCAAUCAGGUCCCUAACGGCCCGGUCCUUGGUAGAACCCAUACUGACUGACUACACACCAAUCAAUCAGGUCCUAACGGCCCGGUCCUUGGUAGAACCCACCUGACUACACACUAAUCAAUCAGGUCCUAACGGCCCGGUCCUUGGUAGAACCCAUACUGACUACACACCAAUCAAUCAGGUCCUAACGGCCCGGUCCUUGGUAGAACCCAUACUGACUACACACCAAUCAAUCAGGUCCUAACGGCCCGGUCCUUGGUAGAACCCACCUGACUACACACUAAUCAAUCAGGUCCCUAACGGCCCGGUCCUUGGUAGAACCCAUACUGACUGACUACACAUCAAUCAAUCAGGUCCUAACGGCCCGGUCCUUGGUAGAACCCAUACUGACUACACACCAAUCAAUCAGGUCCUAACGGCCCGGUCCUUGGUAGAACCCAUACUGACUGACUACACACCAAUCAAUCAGGUCCUAACGGCCCGGUCCUUGGUAGAACCCAUACUGACUGACUACACAUCAAUCAAUCAGGUCCCUAACGGCCCGGUCCUUGGUAGAACCCAUACUGACUGACUACACAUCAAUCAAUCAGGUCCCUAACGGCCCGGUCCUUGGUAGAACCCAUACUGACUACACACCAAUCAAUCAGGUCCCUAACGGCCCGGUCCUUGGUAGAACCCAUACUGACUACACACCAAUCAAUCAGGUCCUAACGGCCCGGUCCUUGGUAGAACCCAUACUGACUACACAUCAAUCAAUCAGGUCCCUAACGGACCGGUCCUUGGUAGAACCCAUACUGACUACACACCAAUCAAUCAGGUCCUAACGGCCCGGUCCUUGGUAGAACCCAUACUGACUACACACUAAUCAAUCAGGUCCUAACGGCCCGGUCCUUGGUAGAACCCAUACUGACUACACACUAAUCAAUCAGGUCCCUAACGGCCCGGUCCUUGGUAGAACCCAUACUGACUACACACCAAUCAAUCAGGUCCCUAACGGCCCGGUCCUUGCUAGAACCCAUACUUCCUACCCUUUAAUUGUAUAAAAUGUCUAUGGAUAUAUAUGCUAUGCUUAUCUGUUACUUGGCAAAACAAGGUCAUCAAAUCUCAUUUAUUUAUAUAGCCCUUCUUACAUCAGCUGAUAUCUCAAAUGUGCUGACAUGUCAUCUAAGAAUAUAUGGUUUUGUUUACAUUCUCAUAUCCAUAAUCAAUAUGUAAAGGACAGACAAGGAAGUGAAGUGUUUACACUGGAAAUUGGUCAUGUGACAAUAAACAACAUGUGAAAACAU
Non-coding RNA from Salmo salar (Atlantic salmon), 1733 nucleotides. Lineage: Eukaryota; Metazoa; Chordata; Actinopteri; Salmoniformes; Salmonidae. The record is from RefSeq and is a predicted model, not a curated record.